Long non-coding RNA from Triticum aestivum (bread wheat), 6347 nucleotides. RefSeq lists it as uncharacterized. Lineage: Eukaryota; Viridiplantae; Streptophyta; Magnoliopsida; Poales; Poaceae. The transcript is spliced from 3 exons. The record is from RefSeq and is a predicted model, not a curated record.
CUCAGUCGCCUCUUCACGCUCGUUCCCCUCGCUCACCCAGUCCACCAAAUCCCUAGCCCGCGGCGGUGACGCACCUCCCCCUCACUCGCGUCGGCGAAUCAACCGCAUCGCCGCCCUUCUCCUCAGGCGUCGCCGCCGGGCCUUCUCGUCUGCGUCGCCUCUCCCUCUUGCCCGCAUCCUCUGCGUCACAGUCGAGCCAAAGUUGGAUAUUUUAGCGAGGUCGAGUAGGAGCGUGAGAAGCGCGGGCACGGCGGCCUUGUCCUGCUCGAGGAAGGCGGCGACGGAUGCUAGCGCUCCUCGCCGCCAUCGACCUGCAAGGAGGAGUGCCGUGUUGGACGCUGCCAUCUCCGACGCUGCUGGUACUCCUCCGCCGCUACGAGUGCCCCGUCACCUGCGCCCAGGUCAAGCGCGAAGUCGAGCUCCCCAUGCUUGACCUGCAAGAUGUACUGUGGUUAAGAACUGCUCUCUGCCGCGGGAGUAGAUUGGAAAGGCUGCUGCUGCUCCUGUACAAUGCGGUUGCUGCUGCUCCUGUACAAUGCGGCUGCUACUGCCACUACCACUCAUCGAUUCGGGCAUGAGCACAUUCUUGGAGUGGAUCUGCAUUUCAAAAAGUUAACAAGUGGGAGUACAUGGAGUACUACAUUUUAAGUCGAGGAGAAGAUGGUAACUGCUCCGUGAUGAUGCCACCAGCACCUACGACUUCCUCGACCACCACCACCAUGAUGACGACUUCCUCGAAAGUGGUGAGUACUCCUCCAAUGCUUGUACUCUUAUCAAUGUUUACUGCUGUGAUCAUGGAGUAGUUAGCUGCUGUUAUCAUGGCAGGAGUAAUGCACCAUUAGUUGGUAAGAAAUAAUGUCAGUAUGAAACCUCUCGACAUUAACUGUUUUUUUUGUGAGGAACAGUACAUGGUUUCAACUUUAUUUGCCCCAUUCCAUGUUCUGAAAUCAUUACCAAAUCAUACGAAGCAUGAUAACAAUGUUCAAGCUGAUUUGGUGAAUCCGUAGAUUACAUCUUACUGUGUGUUCCCAAAAUAUUCAGCAUUGCAAAACAAAGAAAUAUUAAAUACAAGUUUCACUAUGGAUGAUAGUGUGAAACACUAUAUCAUAUUUUCUUUUUCCUGGGAGCAUCAUGGACCAACUUGUCAAUGUAACCUCGGUUGUAUACUACAUCUACAUCCCUGUCAAUGAACAUGUGCACUAUUGAACUAUCUAUGCAUCCACAUCUCUAUGAAGAUACAUAUACUACUGCAUCUUGGAUGAAUACUAUUGUCAGUUUACUCGCAUGAGCCAUUCAAGGAAAGUAGUCUCUCAGUUCUAGUGUACCUAGAUGUACGAUGAAACGAACUUGUGAACCAAAGCAAUUUGAGUUGACAACCGGACAGAGGAAGCGGGCAAGAGAUGAUUUAUUUAUGGGCGAUGAUGAUUUGCUACAAAUACAUAUACUGCUACCUUCCAUGCAUGUCAGUAUCUGAUGCUACCACUUGAUUCCCUGAAGAUUGAAGAACCACCUCCUACCAUUAAUAAAUCAUUUCAUAUAAACUACUGUACCUAGCAAUGUAAAAAAUACAAAAAGGAUAAAAUCACUAACCUGUCAUAGAAAAAAUGGCACACUCCUGGCCGUCCUGCAUGUUUUGGCUUCAAUUUCCCUCGCCUUGCAUGUCACUGCGUCCUUAAGAAAAACAAACACAUUGAUAAUUAUAAUUAAGAACUUCGCCUACAACAAAACAAAACCAGCAGAAACUGAUCGCUUUCAUUGUCUUCAAGACCCUCAUUGUCCUCUAAUAAUAUAGUUUGAGAGAAGUCCACAUUACCCCUCGAACUUGUCUUUGGCUUCACUUUACAAACCUCAGAAUUGUGUUCGUUCAAGUUUCAUCCUUCAACUUUAUAAACCGUUCAUAAUUAUAAGGGGUCUGCUUCAGUAUACCCAGCCUUCUCUUAUUUUAUUUAUUAGAACAUGCCGAUGUUACAUUAUUCUGAACUUCCCAUCUUAUUUAUUAGAACAUGCCGAUGCCACUGAAAAUUAUGAUUACUAUAUCCGCACAGCCUCAUACCUGGACUACUUGGGUAAUUCUCAUCAACAUUUCGUAUGAAAGGCGCAUCAAGCCCUACCUGAUUCCCCUCGUACGUAUGAUCAGAACCUACAUGGAAGGGAUCAACAAAAAAGCCGUAAGCUGUAGACAGAAACAAAGAUGAACACCCAUAAGCAUAAACUGUUUCGUAUGAAAGGCACAUCGGGUAGUACCAUUUGAAUUUUCCGGUACAUAUGCACCAUAAACAUGUGUGAGAUUACUCGCCGCCGGCAACGAAGCAACUUGAUGCACACCCACCCGUAGCAAACUUGUUCCAUCUGAUUGUUCUUGCCUGGAUCAAUACAAAGCCGAUGAUAUAUAGGCAACAAAGUAUGCAGGCAACAUUCUCAGCAUUGAGUAGCUAUAUCGUCAACAUUUUCCUUUUCCCUUUUAUCCUCAUCUACCUAAAUACCCAGAUAGAACUCUGCUUGCCCAACAGCUCCACAUGCUCUGACUUCUUCUGUCUUUUUAGCUUCUCCUUAUUCCUCCAGCUCUCGGCUUCUCAACUUCUAAGAUCUUUCUUUCAUCUGUACAUCAUCACAUGUGCGCUAUAGGUGUGCCUAAAGAUCAUUUUAUUGCCACUAACAAAAUGGUGAGCUAUUCUAAAAACAGGCACACCAUGAUAAUUAAGGUAAAACAAGGUUGAGUCUCAUGGGCAGUACUACAGACAAAUAGGAGUCCUUGUUUCCUGUAAGAGGUUCAUAUGAAAAGUUAAGGCAAUGAUAAUUAGUAAGACUGACGCUCCGAAUUAAAGCCGAUUGGAUGAGGUAAUUCGUCAAAGAAGUACAAUGCAAAGCUGAAACAAUGCAAGUGAAUUAAAAGAGGGGCUGAUGGAAAUUGAGCUUCAAGCGGCGACAUCCUUCGUGGCAUAUGUAAUACAACCGAUUCAGUUCAAAUAUGUAUUUAUUAUGUUAGCAUGAAGGGUAAAAAGAAAGGGGACAAACUAAUCUUAUGUUUAAGCAUACAAAAAAAGUAAAAUCUAAAUAGUGAUGUGAUCACUUCCUUUUAAACAGUUGUUACGAUCAGGUCAGAAGAUUGAAAAACUAUAAUAUUUAUAACAAUGGAAUAGAGGGGCUACUACAUUACACACUUAUGUUUCUACUCAUUCAGUUGAGGAAAAUCCAUGAUGCACAAAACAAGAUCAAUUUCAUCAAUCUGAUUGUUAAUGACCACAAAAUGACAUGAUACAAAAGAAAAUAGCAUGUGCAUUUAAUAGAAAGUGCUUGUGCAUUGCUACUGGUAAUAAUGGAGAUAACUGAAUACCAUGUGAAUUUAACGCAAAAUGAAGGUUCCAACCAAAGAUUCGAAAUACCCAUCACCUCCAUGACAUGAUAAUUUAGAAUGACAUAUGAGUGAAUAUCACCAAAAGGAGGACCUCCUAUGGUGUAGGAGGCUUAAAUCUGAUAUAUCAAGAUCAAAGUCUUCUCACCAUAAUGGAGAUAACUGAAUACCAUGUGCAUUUAAUAACACAAAAUGAAGGUUCCGACCAAAGAUUUGAAAUAACGAGAACCUCCAUCACAUGAUAAUUUAAAAUAACAUAUGUGAAUGUAUUUGUACUGUAAAGUUAUUCAAUGUGCCAUGUGAUAGGAAAGAGAGAAAAUAUGCCUAGGUAGGUUCUUACUACAAUUGUUGCUCCUGCUACUAAUUACCAGUUACUUCAAUCAAUAGCUAAAAAGUAUUUUAACGUUUCUCUGCCCUAAAAAGUAUUUUAAUGUUUUUCUCUGCCCCUGCUCUUGGAUUUGAUUGCAGACUUGAUUAGCCUUACCGAAUCUUAGAGUUGCUUCGCCAAGGCGUGUCGUUUUUCACCUUCCCAUUGCAUUCAACAAAAUAUUUUCCUAUCACUCCCUUUAGCUGAUGGUUCAUCCCCACAUAAGAUGUACCUGAUGCUCCCUGGAAAACCACAUCUGUGUAUCUUCUGUUACAUACAUGAGAUUCUCUAAUGCGUGUUUAGGCAGGAGCUAGCAUAUUAGGAAUGAAACAUACAAGCCCGAUGAACACUGGAUUCACGCACAACCACAGGAAAUCCCUCCAAACUAAACUAACCUGUGAAUCCCGCUUCAGCGAGGCAGGUGAGGAGGAGGGUUACCAGAGGCUGGAGGAAAAUGAGAGCAGGGACUGCCCGCCGAGCAUCCCCAUCGCUGGCGAGCCGAGCAUCCCCAGCCGGUAGCAAGGGACAAGGGAGCAGUAGGCACUACAUACCUCCAUUAUUAUAGUUAAAUGUCAUGUCUGGACUGACCUUUCCUUCUUCCUGGGCAGCCAACACUUUGUAGUUGGAAAUACUAUCAGUUUACACUCCUGAUGAAGUGGUAAAAAUACAUAAUUGAGAAAUAGAUUUACCCUUAUAAUUGCUUGCACUGCACACUUCCUUACAUUUGAAUUUGCAGAUGAUUCUUCAAAUGAGAGAUGUUCCAAAAUUUAGUGAUUACCUGAUGUUUCAGAUGAUGAUCAGGAUGAUUGACAAGGAAGAAAUGUUCCACAGGCUUGCUAUCUGAUUCAUCGGGGUCUGGUGGUAUGUUCCGUACAAGAACCUACAAUAAAAACACAUUGAUGACUCAGAAUCAAAAGAAUAAUCAGAGAACCAUUAAUCUAGAUAAGAUCAUUGUUGUAUGCAGCAUUCUUUUUUCUAGCAAAGGGGUCUAAACUGAGCUCAUGUAUAAGUUGCAAUCACAAAGGGAUCCCAUGGCCUCAAUCCUCAGCUCCAUCUCUCUAUCCUGAUCUGAUUCUCUCCGUCUUGAACCAAAUAGAGAAAAGAGGGGAGAUGAACCUGAGGGAGGAAGGCGAUCGCAUGGUGGCGAACGCAGGAGGAACCGGAGGACGGGAGCAUGGUGGUUGAUGCCUAGGGUUUAGCGCAGAUCGUGGCGGCGUCUCCUCUGGGAGGUCGGCGGCGUGCGAAGGCGAAGGCGUACCUCAGCAGAGGUCUCCAGAUGGCGACCCAGAGGUCCACAACGAUGGCGGCGCCGCCUCCACGACCCCUCGGAGCCGGCAAAGGGAUCCGCGGCUUGCGCCUGGGAUCUGCCAGGCGGCGGCGUUCGCGUCGCGAAUAGAUCCAGGGGUCGUCGCUCCUUCACCUCGUACGUGCGGGCGAUAGGUUUAGGUUUUUUUGUCGCUGGUUAAUUUUCGUAGGUCUUUUAUCGUUGGUUAACCUUCGUAGGUCUUUUUUCGGUCGUACGUGCAUGGGUGCGGGUUGGGGUCUCAGCACGAGGUUUUUUCGGUUUGUGGUGGCUAAGUCAGAGGUGGGAGGAUGUACCAAAAAAAACCAUAGGAGGUGGGACUAAAAAAAACCUGGAAGCGAGACUACCAACUGCUCCAUUAGGAGUAGAGAUAGUGGGGAGUAACAUAUGUGUGCUGUCAUGCAAUGCUUUAUUUAUUAGCUUGUAGACUUAGCUUAUCUUGGUAUGUGUAAUAUUACUUCCUUUAUCUUAGUUUACAAGUCUUGCGUGUGUAUUUAGGUCAUUAAUUUGACCAACUUAAUAAGAGGCAUGUAGUACAAAAAAUAUGUCAUUAGAAACUUUAGAUAUUCUAUUUUCUAAUGAUAUAAUUUUUAUAUUAAACAAUUUAUCUUAUAUAAGUUAAACUGAUGACUUAGAUACAUGUGCAAGCCUUGUAAACUAAGAUGAAGGGAGUACUCAUAGUAUGAGUAAUUAGCUAUGUUAUUGAAUUCAUCUCUCUCCUUGUUAAAUCAUUGUCACAUAAACAAAUUUGCUGAGUUUGACUUUAUGUUACUGCUGAAGUUACUCACAUUAUGGGCAGUCAUACUAAUGCAAGGCCGAACCAUCAGAUUGCUCCACCCCAACACAUAGUUGAAAUAAAUGUCAAUGUUGCUCUACUGCAGUAUGCAUCAUUACCAGUUGUGGCCGCGGUGUGCAGAGACCGAUCGGGUAUUUAUAUUAGAUCUUGAGCUAUUUCUCUUGUGGGAAAUUUAGAUCCCACAACACUUGAAGCCUUUGCAUUCCAAGAAGCGCUGGUCCUUGCAGAUGACUUCUAGGAGCGAAGAAUUUUUGUUGCUUCAGAUUGCAAGAUUGUCAUUUGAUGAUAUCAAGCAGAAGAGUGCGGUUGUAUAUGGCGCAAUUAUCUGAGAAAUGUUAGAUCAUUCUAGAUUUUUUAUUAGUUGCCCUUCUAGUCAUGAAUUAGGAGGCUGGAUACCAAGACUCACAAUUUAGUGAAGCAUGCUCUCUCACUGGGGUUGGCCCUCAUGUUUGGUUAGGUAUCCCCGGUGAUCUUACUUUCGCCUUUGUAAAUAUUGUGACGAGUUACAUAAGCUUCAUGAGAUUGUCUA